Molecule: ribosomal RNA, 138 nt
Filed under: uncultured eukaryote
Lineage: Eukaryota
Description: partial 18S ribosomal RNA
Rfam family: Eukaryotic small subunit ribosomal RNA
Source: RNAcentral
UGGUGGAGUGAUUUGUCUGGUUAAUUCCGAUAACGAACGAGACCUUAACCUGCUAAAUAGUUAUAUUCACUCUGGUGGAUACCUAACUUCUUAGAGGGACUAUGGAUGUUUAAUCCAUGGAAGUUUGAGGCAAUAACA